This 506-nucleotide ribosomal RNA is filed under the name bacterium ID4-15. Its description in RNAcentral is "partial 16S ribosomal RNA". It matches the Rfam family "Bacterial small subunit ribosomal RNA", at positions 32 to 525 of the family's 1533-position model. The record is from RNAcentral.
ANUUUAACGCUGGCCGGCAGGCCUAACUCAUGCAAGUCGACCGGUAGAAAGUAGCUUGCUACUUUUGAGAGCGGCGGACGGGUGAGUAACGCGUGGGAAUCUACCUGGUAGUGGGGGACAACUUGGGGAAACUCAAGCUAAUACCGCAUACGCCCUACNGGGGAAAGGAGGGGCUCUUAGGACCUUUCNCUAUCAGAUGAGCCUGCGUAGGAUUAGCUAGUUGGUAGGGUAAAGGCCUACCAAGGCGACNAUCCUUAGCUGGUCUGAGAGGAUGAUCAGCCACACUGGGACUGAGACACGGCCCAGACUCCUACGGGAGGCAGCANUGGGGAAUAUUGGACAAUGGGGGCAACCCUGAUCCAGCCAUGCCNCGUGUGUGAAGAAGGCCUUCNGGUUGUAAAGCACUUUCAGUGGUGAGGAANGGUGANNAGUUAAUACCUNCUUACAUUGACGUUAGCCACANAAGAAGCACCGGCUAACUCCGUGCCAGCAGCCGCGGGUNAAUA